GACGGAGGGUGCUAGCGUUGUUCGGAAUUACUGGGCGUAAAGGGCGCGUAGGCGGCAUGCUAAGUCGAACGUGAAAUCCCUGGGCUCAACCCAGGAACUGCGUCCGAUACUGGUUGGCUUGAAUCCGGGAGAGGGAUGUGGAAUUCCAGGUGUAGCGGUGAAAUGCGUAGAUAUCUGGAGGAACACCGGUGGCGAAGGCGACAUCCUGGACCGGUAUUGACGCUGAGGCGCGAAAGCCAGGGGAGCAAACGGG
RNAcentral lists this ribosomal RNA (253 nucleotides) under uncultured bacterium. RNAcentral's name for it is "partial 16S ribosomal RNA". It matches the Rfam family "Bacterial small subunit ribosomal RNA", at positions 524 to 776 of the family's 1533-position model. The record is from RNAcentral.